AGCCUCAUUCUUCAUAAGAAUGGGCACUGUCAAUCAGCGUCCAGAACUGGUUAAUGUGGCUAAGUUGAGACAAUGGACAUGUUUCCAUCAUAGUAGAUAUGUUACAGUGGUGACAAUGAGACCUGUAACAUUU
Small nucleolar RNA from Cricetulus griseus (Chinese hamster), 133 nucleotides. Ensembl annotates it as small nucleolar RNA SNORA1. The record is from Ensembl. Lineage: Eukaryota; Metazoa; Chordata; Mammalia; Rodentia; Cricetidae.